This 498-nucleotide ribosomal RNA is filed under the name uncultured Glomeromycotina. Its description in RNAcentral is "partial small subunit ribosomal RNA". It matches the Rfam family "Eukaryotic small subunit ribosomal RNA", at positions 591 to 1091 of the family's 1831-position model. Lineage: Eukaryota; Fungi; Glomeromycota. The record is from RNAcentral.
CCAAUAGCGUAUAUUAAAGUUGUUGCAGUUAAAAAGCUCGUAGUUGAACUUCGGGAUCAAGGGAUCGGUCAUGCUUUUGUAUGUACUGGUCUUAUUGGUUCUCACCUUCUAAAGAACCAUAAUGUCAUUCAUUUGAUGUUAUGGGGAAUUAGGACUGUUACCUUGAAAAAAUUAGAGUGUUUAAAGCAGGCUUACGCUUGAAUACAUUAGCAUGGAAUAAUGAAAUAGGACAUCCGAUUCUAUUUUGUUGGUUUCUAGGAUCGAUGUAAUGAUUAAUAGGGAUAGUUGGGGGCAUUAGUAUUCAAUUGUCAGAGGUGAAAUUCUUGGAUUUAUUGAAGACUAACUACUGCGAAAGCAUUUGCCAAGGAUGUUUUCAUUAAUCAAGAACGAAAGUUAGGGGAUCGAAGACGAUCAGAUACCGUCGUAGUCUUAACCAUAAACUAUGCCGACUAGGGAUCGGAUGAUGUUAAUUUUUUAAUGACUCAUUCGGCACCUUAC